Long non-coding RNA from Rana temporaria (common frog), 1159 nucleotides. RefSeq lists it as uncharacterized. The transcript is spliced from 4 exons. Lineage: Eukaryota; Metazoa; Chordata; Amphibia; Anura; Ranidae. The record is from RefSeq and is a predicted model, not a curated record.
GACUGAUUAGUCAGCCAGGGUCCCGCGCACACACACAGCUGCAUCGUUAUACGCCAGGCAAGCGUGGAUGACGUCGCCGCUAUUGCGACGUAGACACCGAGGUGCACGUGGUGAUCCUUCCACUUCGCCUAUUAUCAGCCCCAUUCCAAGGGGACUAUAUAUAGAACAGGUGACUUGCCACUCACUGUACUGGCGUCACCUCAAUACCAGGGAUACACUCAGCUAUACACUCUUUUGGAACACUAAGGACUCUAUUGCCAUUACCUAUUAUCCUUUCCAUGUAUAUGGAUUAAGGCCAUCUAGGUUGGCGAUCGUUUAGGCAGAUUUACCCAUCUGCUCAUUUAUGUCCGGUCUACUGCACUGUAUGUACUAGCUGAGUGUGUGAAUAUAUCCCUGGACUAGGUUCAUUGUUCAUUGCUUACCAGCAAUUGACUGCCAUACCACCGCAUGCAACUUUGUUUUGCAUCUUUAUGAUAAUACUCCCCUAACUGGUUGAAGUAAAAUUUCUCUGUGAAUUACAACCAACGAUAGGCUAACAAGAGACCGUUUGUUGAUUAUCACCAACGCGGGGUACCCCUUAAUGAGAUAUCUAUGCUCCUGAGGAAGCGCUAAUCCUAAAAGCGUGCAACAUGUCGAGCAAACCCUCCUGUUCCUCUGGAUAACCAUCUGGUCACUUGUGAUAUAACAUUUUUUAUAAUUAUGCUUUUUAUUUUAAGCUUUCUAUGUUAGAAUCAUACAAUGAAUGUGAACCGUGUGUGUGAAACCAGUUGUUAAUUUAAUUUCACUUUGUGAUUUUUUAUUUAUAACUGUUUUUAUGAUAUUUCUGUAUCCAUAAUAAAUUUUUUCUAGUUUUCUAUAUUAUUUGUAUCGUGUGCCUUUAAAGCCCAACCCACUAGUCUCUAGUUCAAUCCCAUCCCAUCAAAGCUAGGAAGUGUCUUGCUGACUGGCAGAGAUGAGAGUAAUAAUCCCUUGGCAAUCAAAAACAUAAAUGCACUGUAUAUGUAUUCCAAUUGUGUAUUUAGCCUAAAGUUCCACAUUAAACUGUAGUAAGAUAGACGAUUGUACUAAUUCUGUAAUUGCUCUUGCAAACAGCAUUCUACUAAAGCGCAUUAAAUGCUUACAACACUCAACUGUAUGAAAUUAAAGUCACAAUUCUAUA